CUAACAAGAUGAGAGUAGCUGCCUUUGUGUCAUAUGAGUUGAAUUAGCCUGGGAAAUUCACUAUUCAUGACUGUCCCAUCUCCUGUGGAAGAGAAAGGAUAAUGCCCCACCUAAACGCGCCAGCAUUUUCUGGAAGCCUUCCCCCUUGCAGACAAUGUGCUGAAGCCACAGGAGACGAGAGCUGCACCCCGCUCUCAGUACUAGAGGACCCUGUUCCCAGGGGGCACACGAUGACCACUGACCUCAGAGGUCCCGAAGGGGCUGGCGCAACUAAAAACAUCAGCAGUGUCUAGUGACACAGUAAGAAGACGCCUGCGCCUCUGAACUGAGUGUUGUUACGCUGCUUCCCAGGAGCACAGCCUGGCCCUCGCAGCUCAUCGCCCAGGACCAAGGGUCUUCUCUCGUGCCAUUCGAUGGAAUUUAACGGUUUUCCACCGACAGCGUCUUCUCUCGUGUCAUUCGAUGGAAUUUAACGGCCGUUUUCCACCUACAGCUUUUUCUGUCAAGUUAUUCGAUGGACAUUAAAAAAAAGCCUCAUGAAGUAAGACUGUCAUUACUCUCACCUUGGUUUUGAGGCAAAAGCCAGAAGAAGCACAACUGUGAUGUGUCCAAGUCCAAUCACCAGUUAGGAGUGAGCACCACCUUCUUCAAGUGCACGCUUCCCGCCGCCGAGUUGACACUGGGGUGGUGACACCUGAGUUGACAACCAGGUGGGGAAGCAGCAGCCCCACCACGUGGCCCUCAGCAGGUCCUGAGAACCCACAAGAGGCGCUGGGGAGAUGGGAAGAACACGCACACCCCACACAUGUGCCUCUGCUGUCCUGGGCCCCCUCAGCCCAAGGCGCCCACAGCCCCCGCUGGUGGGAGGCCUGGUUGAAUGUUGCUAUAGGCAGAGUCUCCCCCACUGCAGUGCGCAGGACAUGAGAACAGAAGUGCUCAGCAUCCGGCUGCUGAGGCUCAUGGGAUCCCUACGGCGUGGUGUCACCCGGCAGCAGACCACCCUGUCCAGCCUCAGUCCCUGCCUUCCCCAGGCAUAUCCCCACAUCACGCCCAUCAAGGCCCCCCAAAGUCCGGGACAGGCCUGUCCUCCAGCUCAGCCAGGCAGCGUCCCUGUCACCACAUGUGCCUAUCCCUUCCUGAAGAGCUGUCCUGCGGUCCCCAAAGAGCCAAAGGGUCCCCAUCACCAUUAACUGCCUUCCCACUUUCCAGAACCCCCGUCCCUGACUCUGGUGGUUCAAAUCCUAAGCCGACUGCCAGCUCUCAUUCUGUGUGGCCAUGAGAGGUACUGUGGGAAAUGAACAAGAGAACCAGAACGGCUUAUAAUCUUGCGCCUUGGUGGGUGGCAUGCUCUUAUCAGUGACAAAGGAAUGAAAAGCACCACCCCAGCUAAUGCCAUCUCAAGUGCAAGGGAAAGUACAGCACAAAACGGAGUGCCAACAAUUCAUCUCUUGAAAUUACAGACUUGACGUGAUAGUGCUGCCUCGAAAAACAAAAGGCGUCUAGAAGCCUCUGCCCGGUGGAAGCCGGCUGACAUGCUCCCUCCCAAGACAGUACACAGCCCAUGCCCCUCACAUGUCCAGCCGAAGCCUCUGUCCAAUGGCAGCCAGCUGACACGCUCCCUCCUGGGGGCAGCAUGCAGCCCACACCCCUCAUACAUCCAGCCUCCAGGCCAAGCAGGCCGCCUUCUCCAAGCCUGCUGCCUCACUCCUUUAUGAGAAAAGACUGUGGGGUCACACCUGUCCUUGGUCUGUUAGCAAGAGAGCCCGUCACAGCGACUUGCAGGGCCACCUCCAGGUCACUGCAUCUGGGUACCUGCUGAGGAGGCUCCGCCCACUUUUCUGCCUGGAGCCCACACUGACCAGACCUUCCUCCCAGCUCUAGGUCACUGUCGGGGGCUCAAUGUCCCACCGCAGACAGACAUCCACCCCUGUGUGGAGUCCACAUUCUGCCCUGAAAGACACAUACAGGGCAGCAUCACCAUUUCACCCCACAGAGAACCUGGAGAAGAAACAGCACUUGACCACCCAAGUUCAAAAGAACCUGUGUCCUGUGUCCUGGGCUGAACAGUGUCCCCACAAAACUCAUGUCCUGCCCAGGACCCCAGACUGUGACCUGACUUGGAACUGGGGUCUCUGCAGACGUGAUGACCUAAGCUGUGAUGAUGUCAUCCUGGAGAAGAGGGGCUCCAAAUCCAGUGACUGUCCUCAUACGGAGAGGAGAAGGAGACAGGAGGAGACACAGGGAGAAGCCAGCCAUGGGGGGCGCGGGCAGAGGCUGGAGGGAUGUGGCCAGCACGGAAGCUGGGAGAGGGAAAGACCCUGCAGAGUAAGCGUGGCCCUGCUCACACCUCGAUCCCAGGCAUCGGCCUCCAGACCUGUGUGAGAACACCAGUCUGUUCUAAGCCAGCCAGGCUGGGAGCUUUGUCACAGUGGCCACAGGAACCUGUGAGGCACCCUGCAAGACACAAUAGGGACAGGUGCAAGCGAAGCAGCCCCUGGCAGCCGCUGCUUCCUGCUAGGAAAUACCACUGGCUCUUGGAGUGAAUGAUUUAAAAAGAACUACAAUGGUCCGACAGGCCAAGCUUGAAUGCAUAACAUUUUACUCUGUGCCAAUGAAUCCAAUCCCUAACUGCUAGGAGGCUUCGAGGGGAUCUGCCAUCCACAGCAGCAUUCUUUACAGCAGACGAGACCGGGCGUGCUCAGGGCAGCAUGGCCGUAGACAGCAGUCCUUAGGAAAGUCCUCAGAUCGGGGUCAGCGGCUUGGAUGCACAGUCCGGGCAGAGGCCUGUGUGAGCCAUGGGUAGAAAUCCUAAGAACUAACCCACUCUCUCUUCGCAGAGAAAACAGGCAGGCGAGUGCUGCUGCCCUUCCAGCUCAUCCCUCAGGAGAACAAUCCGAGGCUGUCAAAGGCCUGACAAUAAGCUCCUUUGCAUAAGACGCAAACGUCAGCUGCCCAAAUCCAGGGCUCCACCGGUCCUUGGGAACUCUAAGAAAGCCAACACCCCAAAAAGCAAAUUUCUCUCUCCCUCUUUCCAAAAGCUCAUUUCCUCAGUUCGGGAAGGUGGUGCUUAGAGACAUCACCUACUGUGUGCUUCAAAAUAUGGACUUUUCCUUCAGAAAAAGAAACAAAAUCUUUUUGCGGACGAGUAAGAAGGAGAAACUUAACACCUGCCCCCUCGUGAGCUGCCCAGGUUGGUGAGGACGGCAGGCCUCUGACUGCUGAGGCCACGGGCGUCACUGCGGCUCUGAAGCAACAGCAGACUGAGGUGGGGCGAUACAGCCAAUUCCGCUCCCACGCGGCUCAAGCCGGGGCUGGGGAGGUUUGCGCCAUGCAUUUAUCUGACUUGUUUUGUUUUCUGAGCAACAAUCAUUAAGAAUGAAACGGGGCCACAGGGAGAAGGGUAAAGCAAUGUUCUGAACAUUUCAACAAUUCCACCUAAGCGCAAGCGACACAGGUCCACCUGGCCUGAGAGGGCGGGAGAAGGAGCUCCUGUUCCCAUCUCCACCCAGAUUUCACUCCAGAGGAAGUGAGCCCGGGCAGGUGGUAUGAGGGCGGGCCGUGCUCUCUCAGUCCAUAGAGCAGGGCUCCUCUCCAUGUGGACACCAGAGGAGCUGGGAACAGGGAGGCACAGCAAAGGCCUGUGGUCACACGGGCCACGAUUAUAGGCACUAACUCCAUCCUGCGAGCUCUAGCUCCUGUCCCACAAGACACUGCCUUGAGGCCGGGUGCAGUGGCUCACACCUGUAAUCCCAACACUUUGAAAGGCCAAGGUGGCCAGAUCACCUGAGGACAGGAAUUCUAGACCAGCCCGGACAACAGGGUGAAACCCAGUCUCUACUAAAAACAGAAAAACUGGCCCAUGGUGGCGGGCACCUGUAGUCCCAGCUAUUGAGGAAACUGAGCCAGGAGAACUGCUUGAACCCGAGAGGCAGAGGUUGCAGUGAGCCAAGAUCACACCACUGCACUCCAGCCUGGGCAACAAAGUGAGACUCCAACUCCCAAAGAAAAGAGAAGCAGACACUGCCUUGCCAGUGAGCUGCCAAGGGGGUCGCUGAGUGCCAAGGAGGAGGCUGGGUACUCACAGCAUGAGCAUGCCCCAAGCCAUGAGGUCCAGCAGCCUGGUGAGCAAGCCAGUGACCAUGGCUAUCUGGGGGACAGCCCCAAAGCUGGCAGGCCCAGGAGAGCCCAUGCCAGUCUCCCACUCCCCAUUCAGGCUUCCAGACCCCAGUCGAGGUUGGCAGCCCUUCCCAAGCAAGCUCAGCAGGGAAGGUCAGCUCACGGCCACAACACGCAGGGAGUUGGGGCUGGCAGCAUGCAGUGCCUUCCACCGCCCCACACAGACUCCCUGAGUACAGACACGGCCACCCCACUGCCACAGGCUCCACUCUGAGUAUUGCCCUCUCAUGUCCGUCACCUUGCUGGAACAUUCUCUGUGCCUGAUUUUAAAAACAACACAUGGUGGAUGAUGCCUCAGCCUGAAUUUCCAAAUCAGACCUGGCCGCCCUCCAACUUCAUAGCUGAUGCCCCUGUCAUCUCCCUGGAGGAGCAGGGACUCCUCCCCUGGGAACAGGACCCACCGAAGAAUGCUACCGCCCCACACGGCACGGCCUGCUCAUCCCACCUCACCUGGGAAUAGGGCCCAUCCCACAACAUCACUGCCCCACACGCAUGGCACACUCACCCACCUCACCUGGGAAUAGGGCCCACUCCACAACAUCACCGCCCCACAAGCAUGGCACACUCAUCCCACCUCACCUGGGAAUAGCGCCCAUCCCACAACAUCACUGCCCCACACGCAUGGCACACUCACCCCACCUCACCUGGGAAUAGGGCCCAUCCCACAACAUCACUGCCCCACACGCAUGGCACACUCACCCACCUCACCUGGGAAU
Callithrix jacchus (white-tufted-ear marmoset) is the source of this 4892-nucleotide long non-coding RNA. RefSeq lists it as uncharacterized. The record is from RefSeq and is a predicted model, not a curated record. NCBI's taxonomy places the organism in Eukaryota, Metazoa, Chordata, Mammalia, Primates, Cebidae.